UCAGUUGUGAAAGUUUGCGGCUCAACCGUAAAAUUGCAGUUGAAACUGGCAGUCUUGAGUACAGUAGAGGUGGGCGGAAUUCGUGGUGUAGCGGUGAAAUGCUUAGAUAUCACGAAGAACUCCGAUUGCGAAGGCAGCUCACUAGACUGUUACUGACACUGAUGCUCGAAAGUGUGGGUAUCAAACAGGAUUAGAUACCCUGGUAGUCCACACAGUAAACGAUGAAUACUCGCUGUUUGCGAUAUACAGUAAGCGGCCAAGCGAAAGCAUUAAGUAUUCCACCUGGGGAGUACGCCGGCAACGGUGAAACUCAAAGGAAUUGACGGGGGCCCGCACAAGCGGAGGAACAUGUGGUUUAAUUCGAUGAUACGCGAGGAACCUUACCCGGGCUUAAAUUGCAACAGAAUAUAUUGGAAACAGUAUAGCCGUAAGGCUGUUGUGAAGGUGCUGCAUGGUUGUCGUCAGCUCGUGCCGUGAGGUGUCGGCUUAAG
This 491-nucleotide ribosomal RNA is filed under the name uncultured bacterium. Its description in RNAcentral is "bacterial SSU rRNA". It matches the Rfam family "Bacterial small subunit ribosomal RNA", at positions 588 to 1084 of the family's 1533-position model. The record is from RNAcentral.